RNAcentral lists this ribosomal RNA (512 nucleotides) under uncultured bacterium. RNAcentral describes it as "partial 16S ribosomal RNA". It matches the Rfam family "Bacterial small subunit ribosomal RNA", at positions 28 to 507 of the family's 1533-position model. The record is from RNAcentral.
GAUGAACGCUGGCGGCGUGCCUAAUACAUGCAAGUCGAACGAAACUUCUUUAUCACCGAGUGCUUGCACUCACCGAUAAAGAGUUGAGUGGCGAACGGGUGAGUAACACGUGGGCAACCUGCCCAAAAGAGGGGGAUAACACUUGGAAACAGGUGCUAAUACCGCAUAACCAUAGUUACCGCAUGGUAACUAUGUAAAAGGUGGCUAUACUACCGCUUUUGGAUGGGCCCGCGGCGCAUUAGCUAGUUGGUAGGGUAAAGGCUUACCAAGGCAAUGAUGCGUAGCCGAAGUGAGAGGUUGAUCGGCCACAUUGGGACUGGGACACGGCCCAAACUCCUACGGGAGGCAGCAGUAGGGAAUCUUCCACAAUGGGCGAAAGCCUGAUGGAGCAACGCCGCGUGGGUGAAGAAGGUCUUCGGAUCGUAAAACCCUGUUGUUAGAGAAGAAAGUGCGUGAGAGUAACUGUUCACGUUUCGACGGUAUCUAACCAGAAAGCCACUGCUAACUACGUG